GCGGACGGUCAGUAACACGUAGUCCACCUUACUCGUGGACGUGGAUAACCUCGGGAAACUGAGAAUAAACCACGAUAGAUCAUAGUGCCUGGAAUGGCUUAUGGUCCAAACAGUUUACUGCCAUGGGAUGGGACUGCGGCCUAUCAGCUUGUUGGUGAGGUAAUGGCCCACCAAGGCGAUUACAGGUACGGNCUCUGAGAGGAGAAGCCCGGAGAUGGGUACUGAGACACGGACCCAGGCCCUAUGGGGCGCAGCAGGCGAGAAACCUUAGCAAUGUGCGAAAGCACGACUGGGUCAGUCCGAGUGAUUCCUGAUAAAGGAGUCUUUUGCUUGUCCUAAAAGCACAGGUGAAUAAGGGGUGGGCAAGUCUGGUGUCAGCCGCCGCGGUAAUACCAGCACCUCGAGUGGUCAGGACGUUUAUUGGGCCUAAAGCAUCCGUAGCCGGCUUUGCAAGUCUUCGGUUAAAUCCACCUGCUCAACAGAUGGGCCGCUGGAGAUACUACAGAGCUAGGGAGUGGGAGAGGCAGACGGUAUUCAGUGGGUAGGGGUAAAAUCCUCUGAUCCAUUGAGGACCACCAGUGGCGAAGGCGGUCUGCCAGAACACGUUCGACGGUGAGGGAUGAAAGCUGGGGGAGCAAACCGGAUUAGAUACCCGGGUAGUCCCAGCUGUAAACGAUGCAAACUCGGUGAUGCAUUGGCUUAUGGCCA
RNAcentral lists this ribosomal RNA (708 nucleotides) under uncultured archaeon. RNAcentral describes it as "bacterial SSU rRNA". It matches the Rfam family "Archaeal small subunit ribosomal RNA", at positions 81 to 792 of the family's 1478-position model. The record is from RNAcentral.